UACAGAGGUGGCAAGCGUUGUUCGGAAUUACUGAGCGUAAAGGGCGCGUAGGCGGCCUUCUAAGUCAGACGUGAAAUCCCCAGGCUUAACUUGGGAACUGCGUCUGAUACUGGGAGGCUUGAGUGCGGGAGAGGGAUGUGGAAUUCCAGGUGUAGCGGUGAAAUGCGUAGAUAUCUGGAGGAACACCGGUGGCGAAGGCGGCGUUCUGGACUGUUACUGACACUGAUGAACGAAAGCCAGGGGAGCAAACGGG
This 253-nucleotide ribosomal RNA is filed under the name uncultured bacterium. RNAcentral's name for it is "partial 16S ribosomal RNA". It matches the Rfam family "Bacterial small subunit ribosomal RNA", at positions 524 to 776 of the family's 1533-position model. The record is from RNAcentral.